Lolium rigidum is the source of this 909-nucleotide long non-coding RNA. RefSeq lists it as uncharacterized. The record is from RefSeq and is a predicted model, not a curated record. NCBI's taxonomy places the organism in Eukaryota, Viridiplantae, Streptophyta, Magnoliopsida, Poales, Poaceae. The transcript is spliced from 2 exons.
GGUGGUGGGGACUGGAGCGGGCACCGGCGACGAGAGGCGCACUGCAGUGCUGCUCCAUUUCAACGACCUCGCUCUACAUGACGAGGUGCCGUUACCAUUGCAGUCAAUGGGAAAAGUAACAAGUGAUAUCAGGCGAGCAAGUUGGAUAGUUAAUCGUCGCCUCAUUAGGUUCAUUCCUCUUCGCAGAACUGACCAGCCCCAGUUAGGCCAUUACUAGUCAGAAUAUUGUUGGAUUUGAUCUAGCACCAGUGCGGACUAAAUUUGGUGGAAAUUCCGAGACUUAAAAUGUUGCAGACCUGAUCCAUGGACUUAAUUAGGAGUAGUUUUCCUAGUUAAGGUCACAGUACACUGACAAAGCCAAGCCAUCAGCCAUGCUGCAUGCACGAGCUUUGUACAGCGCUGCGAAGAAUCAAUAGUCACCCUGCUAUUUUCUACAUCUUGAAUAAUCGAAGGAUGUAACAAAUAGUAUUUUUUUUCCCGGUUCUGGUAGCAACUUUUGGAACUGGAUGUACUUUCGAUCAUUUUUUUACAUCUAGAAUGAUGAAAGGUUCAAGUUGUGUUUUUUCCAAAUCUAGAUGGAACUUAUGUAUGUCUGUAUCUUUUAUCUUUUUUCUACAUCCAAAAAUUUGAAUGGAUCAAGUAAAACACUACUAGUAUGUUUGUGAUGUUGGUCUGGAUGUACUUUUUUCUCUCUUCUACAUCCAGAAUUUUGAAUGGAUGAAGUAAAACACUAGUACAUUUGUGAUCCCAGGUUUGGUUCAUCCGGAUGUAUUUUUUUCCUUUUUUCUACAUCUACUGCUGCAAUUUUGUACAUUUUCAAUUGGAAGGAUGUAUUUUGUUUCUCUUUCCUACAUCUAGGAUUUUGAAUGGAUCAAGUAAAACACUACUAGUAGUAUACUAUUUGAGAUC